GCCGCUGUGGCUUAGAGGUAGAGCAGCUGAUUCGUAAUCAGCAGGUCGUGGGUUCAAGCCCCACCGGCGGCU
This 72-nucleotide transfer RNA is filed under the name Candidatus Methanophagaceae archaeon SCGC AAA252-L18. Its description in RNAcentral is "tRNA-Thr". It matches the Rfam family "tRNA". Rfam says of the family: Transfer RNA (tRNA) molecules are approximately 80 nucleotides in length. Lineage: Archaea; Methanobacteriati; Methanobacteriota; Methanomicrobia; Candidatus Methanophagales; Candidatus Methanophagaceae. The record is from RNAcentral. RNAcentral also lists the same sequence under 6 other names.